RNAcentral lists this ribosomal RNA (511 nucleotides) under uncultured bacterium. RNAcentral describes it as "partial 16S ribosomal RNA". The record is from RNAcentral.
GGAGUUAGCCGGUGCUUCUUCUGCGAGUAACGUCACAGAUGUAAGGUAUUAACUUACACCCUUUCCUCCUCGCUUAAAGUGCUUUACAACCCGAAGGCCUUCUUCACACACGCGGCAUGGCUGCAUCAGGGUUUCCCCCAUUGUGCAAUAUUCCCCACUGCUGCCUCCCGUAGGAGUCUGGGCCGUGUCUCAGUCCCAGUGUGGCUGAUCAUCCUCUCAGACCAGCUAGGGAUCGUCGCCUAGGUGAGCCUUUACCUCACCUACUAGCUAAUCCCACCUGGGCUUAUCCAUCAGCGCAAGGCCCGAAGGUCCCCUGCUUUCCCCCGUAGGGCGUAUGCGGUAUUAGCAGUCGUUUCCAACUGUUAUCCCCCACAAAUGGGCAAAUUCCCAGGCAUUACUCACCCGUCCGCCGCUCGUCAUCUUCAAAAGCAAGCUUUUGAAAUGUUACCGCUCGACUUGCAUGUGUUAGGCCUGCCGCCAGCGUUCAAUCUGAGCCAUGAUCAAACUCUGA